Molecule: RNase P RNA, 402 nt
Filed under: bacterium
Lineage: Bacteria
Description: RNase P RNA component class A
Rfam family: Bacterial RNase P class A
About the family: Ribonuclease P (RNase P) is a ubiquitous endoribonuclease, found in archaea, bacteria and eukarya as well as chloroplasts and mitochondria.
Source: RNAcentral
UUGAUGUAUCGGGUAAUCGCUCUUAUCCGCCAUUGUGUGGAUAGGGGAGGAAAGUCCGAACACCAUCCAAACAAUUUUUGUUUGGUUAGUGAUAACGGCUAACAGCCGCCAUACUCCUGAUAAUGUAAGGAGGAACGGGAUAGUGUCACAGAGACCAUACCGCGGACGUCAUCAUUUCUGGUCUAAAGCCAGAAAAGUUGGUAGCGCAAGGGUGAAAAGAGUGAGGUAAGAGCUCACAGUAUAUAUUGGUAACAAUAUGUAGAGAAAAACUCCUAUCCGGUGCAAGUUCUAUUGAACGCUUGAGCCAGAAGAGCAAUCUUUGGCCCAGACAAAUGAUUACCCCAAGUGCGUAAGUAAAAUUACGUGCUCGGACAGAAUUCGGCUUAUAGACACAUCAAAGAC